Molecule: unclassified non-coding RNA, 391 nt
Filed under: soil metagenome
Description: partial contains 5.8S ribosomal RNA, internal transcribed spacer 2, and large subunit ribosomal RNA
Rfam family: 5.8S ribosomal RNA (bases 1-122)
Source: RNAcentral
GAUGAAGAACGUAGUGAAAUGCGAUACUUGGUGUGAAUUGCAGAAUCCCGCGAAUCAUCGAGUUUUUGAACGCAAGUUGCGCCCGAAGCCAUUCGGCCGAGGGCACGUCUGCCUGGGUGUCACGCAUCGUUGCCCCCCCCAAACUUCGGUUCGGGCGGGGCAGAAGUUGGCCUCCCGUGCGUGCCUGCGCGUGCGGUUAGCCCAAAAGCGAGUCCUCGGCGACGAGCGCCACGAAAAUCGGUGGUUUUUUUGCCCUCGUUCCUCGUCGUGCGUGCCCCGUCGCCCGAACGCGCUCUUGCGACCUUCACGCGUCGCCUCGGUGGCGCUCCCAACGCGACCCCAGGUCAGGCGGGACUACCCGCUGAGUUUAAGCAUAUCAAUAAGCGGAGGA